GGCACCUGGUGCGCAACACUGGCCCUGCAGGGAGCAUUGCUAAACACAUGGUCGCUCAGUGUGUCUCACCAAAGGGGCCUCUGGCGUGCUCAAGGACAUACUUCUUUGGAGCUACUCAUGUUCCUUACCUGGGUGAUGAUGAGAAGCUGCCCAGGACAACUGAGCAAAUUAGGCUCUUAUCCCAGGUAUAUGCUGCUGUUACUGAGGCUGUUUUGGCUGCCAUUGCAUGCUAUGCUAAAACUUGCAGUCUGGCAAAGGUAAUUUAAAUACCAUAUUUCUGAUUUGGUAGUCAUCAGUUAACAUAAAUCAUCCUAACCGUUUUGUCAUUCGGAUGGCAUGCAGUACUCACCGCUGUGUGACUUAGGGCCUUGGCA
This 374-nucleotide long non-coding RNA is filed under the name Rattus norvegicus (Norway rat). RNAcentral describes it as "long non-coding RNA NONRATT019695". The record is from RNAcentral. Lineage: Eukaryota; Metazoa; Chordata; Mammalia; Rodentia; Muridae.